Pipra filicauda (Wire-tailed manakin) is the source of this 2330-nucleotide long non-coding RNA. RefSeq lists it as uncharacterized. The transcript is spliced from 5 exons. NCBI's taxonomy places the organism in Eukaryota, Metazoa, Chordata, Aves, Passeriformes, Pipridae. The record is from RefSeq and is a predicted model, not a curated record.
UCACUGUUCAGUAUGCCAGUGUGAUCUCCCACGGUUUCGCUGGGGAGAUUUUUGCCGGUGAUAGUUGUAGUAGUGCCACUGAGCAGUUUUGCUGUGUCUGCAGAACAUCAAAAAAAUGCAGUUUAGAUGGGUCAUAAGUGCUAAGGACAUAACUUAUUCCCCUGUAAUUACCUUUUUAGCCCAAUAUUGUACUGGUCUGGUUUGUUUCAACGAUUGCUGGGAAAAGUCUUAAAGGCAUAGUAGGGGUAUACUUUGUAUUAUCACUGCUUUCAGAAAGUCUCCAGUGCAAGUCCAAUUGAUGCAGUGAAUCAAAAUAAAAGAGGAAAAGAAAAAAGAAGGUAAAUCUGUGAAACAACAUCAGAAUGAUGUAAAUGGUUAUUUUAGGGUACAUAAUAAUAGAAGAAGUGGUGUUUGAUCAGGUUCAGAAAUACUUUGUGUAUUUUGAAAUCCCAGUUUUUGGGGAAAAGGUUUGCUAUAGCAGAGAGAAAAAAAAUAUUAUUUAGGAGCUUCACCUUGUGUUAGUAGGGUUAACUUACACAUUCUUAGAUCUCUACUUUUUAUGUAAGAAAAGGAUUGGGGUUAUUUGGAAAUAAAGGUCAUAAUUCUGUGGUGCCUAAAGAGAGCGAAGGUUCAUGAGCAGUUAAACAGCGUGAUGGCUGAAAGGACGUUGGCAGCACUAGCUGUAUUAUAAUAGAGCUUAAUAUCUAGAGUAACCUUCACGUGAACUAUCUUGUUUGAAUCUGAUGCUUUGAAUGGACUGGCAGAAAUGAGGGCUCACUGGAGUGAUCCAGAUUUCUCUAGGACAUAUGCCAAAUGCAAAUUCUGGGGCAGGAAUAUAGGCUGCUUUCUGAGGUCAAACUUGCAAAGCCAUUUAGGCCCAGAUUGAUGAAAGUGCAUGGAAAAUUGGAAAGCUACUAUAAAGUAGUCAGAAGGUUGGAUGGGACUAUCCUUUGUAUAAUUAUGUAAAAAUGGUUUACUGCAUUUUGGUAUAAAUUCUAGUACAGUGAAAUCUGGUCAAAGUUGGGACCUCUGGGGAUGCACCAACAGUGUGAAUCCUUUUAUUCUAUUUCUCUCACAAAUAUGUAUGUGCAUAAUCUAAUUUAUUUGUUACAGCUACAGUGUGUGCCAAGCUUCACAGAAGACACACUGAAGCUUUAUGGAGCACUGAAAAAAGAACAUGAUGCUUUGCUAGGUCACAGAGGAGCCAACCAGAGCAAAUCUAUCAAAAUUACUCUGACAGAUGGGAAAAUGGCUGAAGGGGAAUCUUGUGGGGAAAACCACACCAUUUCAGUUAGCUGUAGGACUUCGGUAACCUGCAGAUUCAAGGAGUUGUACUUUUGCAGUGAUAAAACUGUUACUAUCAUUUGUCUCUUACCUUGUUGUGUAAAAUAUAUGUCAUGGUCAGUGGAUGAUGACUCUUAAAUUGGUUCAUUUGGAAAGCAUUGAACCUUCAGCUUAAUGCAUAAUAAACAGCUGGUUGAGGUUACUGUUCUGAGUGAUGCUUGAGGUUCUGUGCUAGGAUCAUAAUGCUUGCUUCCAAUUAAAAAGUAAAUCAGUCAGACUGCUAGGAAUUAAUAGAGACAUUGGAAGUUUUGUGAGUUACCAGAUACAGUAGAACUUAUUGUAAGAAGCAGUCUUUCCUCCAGAUCCCCGGCACUGAAAACCAUUAAAUGAAACUUCUCAAGACCUUAAGGUUCUUUACCUUUAAAGUGGAAAAGUGUUUAAGACCACCACAGAAACAAAAAUUUAAGGUAUUCAGGUGCUACGAGAUGUGGCUGUGGUCUCAUGGGGUUUAGAAACCUAAGGUCUUUUACAAGUCUGAACCUAAAUGUUCAGGUCUCUUGUCGUCCGUUCUGGUUUUUUAGUCAAGUGUUGGCUUCAAAUGCUGUCAUAGCCAAAGCGGAUGGUGAACUGUGGGACCUGUAUUGUCCACUGGAGGGAGAUUGUACUCUGAAGCUGCUGACCUUUGAUAAAGAAGAAGCAAAAGCUGUUUAUUGACAUUCAAGUGCUCACAUUCUUGGAGAGGCCAUGGAAGGAUAUUUUGGGGGCUGCUUAUGCUAUGGACCAUCAACUGAGAAUGGAUUUUAUUUUGACAUAUAUAUUGAAGAGGUGUAUCUAGUACUGAACUCCCACUACUAGAGAACCGCUGUAAAAAUAUCAUAAAAGAGAAACAGGCUUUUGAAAGGCUGGAAGUCAACAAGGAGACCCUGUUAGACAUGUUUAAGUAUAACAACUUUUAACUGUCACAUCCCUAAUGAGAAGAUGAAGACACCAACUACCACAAUAUACAGGUUUUUUUUAUUUUUAUUCUUCUGGAUCCCUUUCCCCAC